AGCGAGGUGGAGCAAAACUUCAAAAAUAGGUCUCAGUUCGGACUGUAGGCUGCAACUCGCCUACACGAAGUUGGAAUUGCUAGUAAUCGUGGAUCAGCAUGCCACGGUGAAUACGUUCCCGGGUCUUGUACACACCGCCCGUCACACCAUGGGAGCUGGUAACACCCGAAGUCAGUAGUCUAACCGCAAGGAGGACGCUGCCGAAGGUGGGAUUAGCGAUUGGGGUGAAGUCGUAACAAGGUAGC
RNAcentral lists this ribosomal RNA (245 nucleotides) under uncultured bacterium. Its description in RNAcentral is "partial 16S ribosomal RNA". It matches the Rfam family "Bacterial small subunit ribosomal RNA", at positions 1256 to 1500 of the family's 1533-position model. The record is from RNAcentral.